Molecule: long non-coding RNA, 552 nt
Filed under: Ananas comosus (pineapple)
Lineage: Eukaryota; Viridiplantae; Streptophyta; Magnoliopsida; Poales; Bromeliaceae
Description: long non-coding RNA (ACOM_LNC005939)
Source: RNAcentral
AUAUUGUUUCGGUAAAAAUCGUGUAGAAUUUUUAUUUUAACUAUAUAAAAUAUUUUAAGUCUGCUAUUUAAUUUUUUAAAUUAUUGUUUUUAUUUUUAAAUAUUUGAUUUUAGACAGUUAAUUAUAAUUUAAUUUUAAAAUUUGAAAUGCUGUUAGCUAGCGCAAAUAAAAUAAAUUAAAAGAUUAAAUAGUAAAAUUAAAAAUGUGAAAGAUUAGAUAUACGGUAUACUCAAUAAAUUCGGUAUGUUUUGAUCUAUUAUUUGAAAAAUAAAUAAGGUCAUUUAUUUCUACAUCACUUUCAACAAUAAAGUACCAGAUCAGUUUCAUUUAACACCAUCUACUAUUCGUACUUCAAAGAAGGUAAAUUUUAUGAUCAUACGAUACUAUUUACUUACGUAUAUAGUGAUCUUAAAUUUACUUAAUGUUAACCUGAAUAUCAUUCAAAAAUUACAAAAUUUAGUUUCUAAAUUUUAAAUAAUUUAGAUCGUAUUUAUCGGUGCUGAUUAUCGAUUUAAAUAUCUUAUAAUAAAAACCGAUACAAAAGUAACUACU